ACGGGAGGCAGCAGUGGGGGAUAUUGCACAAUGGAGGAAACUCUGAUGCAGCAACGCCGCGUGAGGGAAGACGGUCUUCGGAUUGUAAACCUAAGUUGUCAGGGACGAAACAAAUGACGGUACCUGAAAAGAAAGCUCCGGCUAACUACGUGCCAGCAGCCGCGGUAAUACGUAGGGAGCGAGCGUUGUCCGGAUUUACUGGGUGUAAAGGGUGCGUAGGCGGGUUUGCAAGUCAGGCGUGAAAUACCGGGGCUUAACUCCGGAGCUGCGCUUGAAACUGUAGAUCUUGAGUGAAGUAGAGGCAAGCGGAAUUCCUAGUGUAGCGGUGAAAUGCGUAGAUAUUAGGAGGAACACCAGUGGCGAAGGCGGCUUGCUGGGCUUUAACUGACGCUGAGGCACGAAAGUAUGGGGAGCAAACAGGAUUAGAUACCCUGGUA
Molecule: ribosomal RNA, 437 nt
Filed under: uncultured Clostridium sp.
Lineage: Bacteria; Bacillati; Bacillota; Clostridia; Eubacteriales; Clostridiaceae
Also listed under: 1 other name
Description: partial 16S ribosomal RNA
Rfam family: Bacterial small subunit ribosomal RNA
Source: RNAcentral